GCUGGGCAUGGUCACACAUGCCUGUAAUCCCAAUAACGCAGGAGGCUGAGGCAGGAGGAUCCUAAGGCAGGAGGCCACCCUCAGCUGUUUAGUGAGACCCUGUCUCAU
RNAcentral lists this small RNA (108 nucleotides) under Marmota monax (woodchuck). Lineage: Eukaryota; Metazoa; Chordata; Mammalia; Rodentia; Sciuridae. The record is from RNAcentral.